RNAcentral lists this non-coding RNA (139 nucleotides) under Pseudomonas cremoricolorata. Its description in RNAcentral is "SAH sequence". It matches the Rfam family "SAH (S-adenosyl-L-homocysteine) riboswitch aptamer". Lineage: Bacteria; Pseudomonadati; Pseudomonadota; Gammaproteobacteria; Pseudomonadales; Pseudomonadaceae. The record is from Rfam by way of RNAcentral.
CUGUCCGAGGGGCGCUGCAGCAGGUUCUCCUGUCAGGCUCGGAUGGGGCGUUGUCCGCGCAUGCGGACGCCAAGGCGCUGCCUGAACGGUCUUGAGCGAAGGCCAGGCAGCGCCGAACGCACAACGGCGCCCAUUCGAC